RNAcentral lists this ribosomal RNA (340 nucleotides) under uncultured bacterium. RNAcentral describes it as "bacterial SSU rRNA". It matches the Rfam family "Bacterial small subunit ribosomal RNA", at positions 330 to 667 of the family's 1533-position model. The record is from RNAcentral.
AAAACACACCUACGGGAGGCAGCAGGGGGGAAUAUUGGGCGAUGGAUGCAAGUCUGACCCAGCCAUGCCGCGUGCCGGAAGAAGGCCCUCAGGGUUGUAAACGGCUUUUAUUCGGGAAGAAGAGCAGGGAUGCGUCCUUGUGUGACGGUACCGAAUGAAUAAGCACCGGCUAACUCCGUGCCAGCAGCCGCGGUAAUACGGAGGGUGCGAGCGUUGUCCGGAUUUAUUGGGUUUAAAGGGUGCGCAGGUGGCUUUAUAAGUCAGUGGUGAAAUACAGCCGCUCAACGGUUGAGGUGCCAUUGAUACUGUAGAGCUUGAAACAAUUGGAGGCUGCCGGAAU